Molecule: ribosomal RNA, 796 nt
Filed under: uncultured archaeon
Lineage: Archaea
Description: bacterial SSU rRNA
Rfam family: Archaeal small subunit ribosomal RNA
Source: RNAcentral
ACUGCUCAGUAACACGUGGAUAACCUGCCCUUGGGUCCGGCAUAACCCCGGGAAACUGGGGAUAAUUCCGGAUACCGCAUAUGUGCUGGAAUGCUUUAUGCGUAAAAUGGAUUCGUCUGCCCAAGGAUGGGUCUGCGGCCUAUCAGGUAGUAGUGGGUGUAAUGUACCUACUAGCCGACAACGGGUACGGGUUGUGAGAGCAAGAGCCCGGAGAUGGAUUCUGAGACAUGAAUCCAGGCCCUACGGGGCGCAGCAGGCGCGAAAACUUUACAAUGCGGGAAACCGUGAUAAGGGGACACCGAGUGCCAGCAACAUUUGCUGGCUGUCCAGGUGUGUAAAAUACACCUGUUAGCAAGGGCCGGGCAAGACCGGUGCCAGCCGCCGCGGUAACACCGGCGGCCCGAGUGGUGAUCGUGAUUAUUGGGUCUAAAGGGUCCGUAGCCGGUUUGGUCAGUCCUCCGGGAAAUCUGAUAGCUCAACUAUUAGGCUUUCGGGGGAUACUGCCAGGCUUGGAACCGGGAGAGGUAAGAGGUACUACAGGGGUAGGAGUGAAAUCUUGUAAUCCCUGUGGGACCACCUGUGGCGAAGGCGUCUUACCAGAACGGGUUCGACGGUGAGGGACGAAAGCUGGGGGCACGAACCGGAUUAGAUACCCGGGUAGUCCCAGCCGUAAACGAUGCUCGCUAGGUGUCAGGCAUGGCGCGACCGUGUCUGGUGCCGCAGGGAAGCCGUGAAGCGAGCCACCUGGGAAGUACGGCCGCAAGGCUGAAACUUAAAGGAAUUGGCGGGGGAGCAC